GCAGUCGGAACAGCUACUUGAUCUUGCGGUCGAGCUCCGCUGCGGCGAAAAAAGCCGCGCUCGUCUUGAGGAUCUCGUUGGCCCGCCGCAACUCACGGACCUCCCGCUCGAGCUCGGCCAACCGCUGUCCGUCGCUGGUCGUCGUGCCCGGCCGGACCCCACCAUCGACCUCUGCUUGUCGGACCCAGUUCCGCAACGUCUCGGGAUGCAUACCGAGCUGGCCGGCCACACGCGUGAUCGCGCCAGACCUCGUCGCGGGGUCCUGCCUCAACUCGACGGCCAUCCGGGUCGCGCGCUCACGCAACUCGUCGCCGUACUUCUUGGGUGCAGCCAUGACUCUCAUCCUCCAUGGAUUGAGAGCCUCCAUCAGACCCGGGGCGAUUCA
RNAcentral lists this ribosomal RNA (385 nucleotides) under Nocardioides sp. CF8. RNAcentral's name for it is "partial 23S ribosomal RNA". The record is from RNAcentral. Lineage: Bacteria; Bacillati; Actinomycetota; Actinomycetes; Propionibacteriales; Nocardioidaceae.